Molecule: transfer RNA, 67 nt
Filed under: Chiloscyllium punctatum (brownbanded bambooshark)
Lineage: Eukaryota; Metazoa; Chordata; Chondrichthyes; Orectolobiformes; Hemiscylliidae
Description: tRNA-Ser
Source: RNAcentral
GAGAUAGGUCUGGGACACAAAGUACUGCUAAUUCUUUCUUCCAUGGUUCAAAUCCAUGACUAACUCA